RNAcentral lists this long non-coding RNA (2762 nucleotides) under Equus caballus (horse). Its description in RNAcentral is "lncRNA (ENSECAG00000055349.1)". Lineage: Eukaryota; Metazoa; Chordata; Mammalia; Perissodactyla; Equidae. The record is from RNAcentral.
GGUACCUGGAGGCUUAAAGACCCUUAUGGCCUCCCCUGAAAGCCAGGUGGGGGGAGGCUUCCUGUCGUUGUGCCUGCUUCCUCCUCCUCCUCCACCUCUCCCCCUCCUGCUUCCCCUCCAGCUCACAACACAUCCCCCACCCCGUUUAGCACUGGCCGCCAACAAGGCACCGCGUCAGGAACGCGUCUCCAGGCGGAUCUGCUCUUGCACUUGGCGCCACCGUGAGCACGAGUCUGUGUGUGGAGGGUCAGGCCGUCGCGGCUGACGUGUGUCCCUGGACGGGUGGAGCCCUACAGGCUGAAGGACUCGGGGCCACUCAGAAUAAAGAGAUGCAUCAGCCGUGUCUUCACGAAGGCCAGGAGGCUGGGCCUCUGUCCGGGAGCCUGUCCUGCCGCCAUGCCAGCGUCGUGACCCCUCUGCCCUCAGCGGGCUGCGCUUUCCUUGGGGGUCUCCUUUGUCAAGUGCCCGCACCCUCGGAUGGAGGGUCGUCAUCGGAUUGAAAGGGUGUUCUGAUUCUUGUUUUCCCCAAUGUUCCCGCUAAAAAGGGCGGCCGCGGGAGAGGAGCAUCCUCGAGGCCUUGGGGAGGUGGCGGGAGUGGAGUUCCCGCCCUGUCCCCCUGGCUCCCAGGACAACGUGUCACAUCGCUCGUGCCUUCCUGUCUCAGCACGCGGUCUCCUGCGUUUUGUGUGAACUACUGGGCUGCAUGGACCAAGAAGCAGAGGUGUUGCGAGGGGCGACGGGAGCCGUUGAAGGCCUUUGAGCUGGGAGAGAUGCAAUUGGACUUGCCUUUUGCAAAGAUCACCUUCUGCCCGCCAUCUGGAGACACUUGGAGGAGGGCAGAGGGGACGGGGGGACCAGAACGGGGGUCGGCAAACUACGACCGUGGGCCCCAUCUGGCCCACCCACUGUCUGUUUCUGUCCAUAAAGCUUUAUUGGCACACGGCCACGCCCAUUAUUUUACCUAUCGCCAACGGCUGCCUUCUUGAUGCCCCGGCAGAGUGGAGAGUUGCAGCAGAGGCUGCGUGGCCCCCAACGCCUAACCUACUUACUCUGACCUUUUAUGGAAAAGCUUGCUGACCGCUGGCUUAUAAUGCUGCCUUAGUUUGGGUUGUCCCGGAAGCAGAGCUGAGACAAGGAUGCGACCCCAGGAAGCAGGAGUGAAGGAACAGGAGGGUGAGGAGUGAGGAGAGGGCCUGUGAAGGUACGUGGACAGAGCCUCUGCCGAAGGCAGCAGAGCCCAGUUCUGUGGGGUCCUCUGAGAUGGCAGAAGGUGGCGCCGGAGUGUCCAUGAAGGUUGGGAGAUGGGCAGGCGCUGUCCCCUGGUCCCAUCUCCUAUUGGCCAAGGGUUUCCUCCAGGGGCCUUAGCUCCCCUGCCCAUCGGGCUGUGCUCACGUCGGGGACCCCCGAGAGGUCGGUGGCUUUGGAAAGGCCAAAGGCCGAGAAGUAGACACUGGAACGUGGCUGGCCAGCGUCACAACUGAAAGCAGAGCCGGGCCGAGGGGCCGAGUUCAGAGAUUUAGGAAGUGGGGCCAACAGGAGUUGUGGCUGGGUGGGGUCAGGUAGGUGAGAGCAGAAGUGAAGAGUAUCGACGGAGACCCAGCCUCGAGGGAAGACCUCUGGCUCAGGUCUGGAACGGCCUUGAUCACCCUGACUGUUCCAGAACUUUCAUUGAACUUCUCAGUGAGAUGGACCUCUAGUCUCUGCAGCUGAACGAUGCCCCACAAAUCUCUCCCCCCAGGAUUCACUAAGGAAACUUAAAAAGUUCUUCCCUUUCUCUCGAACAUGCCGUGGGGAGUUGAGAACCCACGAUGCCCAGGAGCGUCUCUGUGAGCAAAGCAUUGAUGCGAUCCUCUCUCUCCUGAGUCGGAAGACAGCUGUCUGCCUAAUUCCUAAUUACGCCCUCCAAAGUCGCAUUAAAUCAUUGCACCGGACACUGCAUUGUGGGAAGUCAGCUGCUGUUUUCACUCGUGUAGCUGUUCUGCAUUUCCAUAGACAGAGCCUGUCUGAAGGGAAAAUGGUACCCUGCCCGUCAGGAUCGCCACCAGAAAUCACAAACCCGGAGGGACGCCGGGAGCGGAAGGUGGAUCAGUGUUCUCCCCACGGAAUAAAUCCUGCCCAGUGCGCGGGCUGGGACUGCCCCUCCUCACCCUCGGACGCAGCUCAGGGACUCCGCGGGUCAUCCCAGGCUGGGGCAGCCGGCGGGAAUCUGCUCGGUGAAUUCCCAGGGCCCCUUCACUUCCGUUUUUCAAGCCGCUUUAUUGAGAUGUAGCUCUCGUACUGUAUAAUUCGCACGCAGAAAGUGUACGUUUAGUGGUUUUUAGUGUAUUCACAGUCGCGCAACCAUCACCACAGUCAAUUUUCGCACCGUUUCGUCACCUCUAAGAUUGAUGAUGAUAUUUAUCAUCCCCCUCCCCCAGCCCCUGGCAACCACUCAUCCACCUUCUGACUCUACGGAUAUCCCUCUUCUGGACGUUUCUUGUCAGCAGGAUCACACGGCGCGUGGUCUUCUGUGCAGAGCCUCCUGCACCGAGCAUCACAUUUUCGGGUUCAUCCAUGUAGCACGUGUCGGAGCUUCGUUCUUUUUUAUGGCUGAGUAAUAUUCCACGCUAUGGGCGUCCCGCGACUUCUAGUGACUCUAGACAUUGCCUCUUGGACCAUCAGUUGCUUAAAAGAGGAGUUGGCGAACAUUUUCUGUGAAAGGCCAAAUAGUGAAUAUUUUCAGCUUCGCUGGCCGUACGGUCUUUGUUGCAGCUACUGAGCUC